This 433-nucleotide ribosomal RNA is filed under the name uncultured bacterium. RNAcentral's name for it is "partial 16S ribosomal RNA". It matches the Rfam family "Bacterial small subunit ribosomal RNA", at positions 29 to 507 of the family's 1533-position model. The record is from RNAcentral.
AACGAGCGCUGGCGGCAUGCCUAACACAUGCAAGUCGAACGAGACCUUCGGGUCUAGUGGCGCACGGGUGCGUAACGCGUGGGAACCUGCCCUUAGGUUCGGAAUAACUCCCCGAAAGGGGUGCUAAUACCGGAUAAUGUCUUCGGACCAAAGAUUUAUCGCCUUUGGAUGGGCCCGCGUUGGAUUAGCUAGUUGGUAGGGUAAAAGCCUACCAAGGCGACGAUCCAUAGCUGGUCUGAGAGGAUGAUCAGCCACACUUGGACUGAGACACGGCCCAGACUCCUACGGGAGGCAGCAGUGGGGAAUAUUGGACAAUGGGCGAAAGCCUGAUCCAGCAAUGCCGCGUGAGUGAUGAAGGCCUUAGGGUUGUAAAGCUCUUUUACCCGGGAUGAUAAUGACAGUACCGGGAGAAUAUGCUCCGGCUAACUCCGUG